GGCUCAGGACGAACGCUGGCGGCGUGCUUAACACAUGCAAGUCGAACGGUGAAGCUCCAGCUUGCUGGAGUGGAUCAGUGGCGAACGGGUGAGUAACACGUGAGCAACCUGCCCCUGACUCUGGAAUAAGCGCUGGAAACGGCGUCUAAUACUGGAUACGAGAAGGGUCCGCAUGGGCACUUUCUGGAAAGUUUUUCGGUUGGGGAUGGGCUCGCGGCCUAUCAGCUUGUUGGUGAGGUAAUGGCUCACCAAGGCGACGACGGGUAGCCGGCCUGAGAGGGCGACCGGCCACACUGGGACUGAGACACGGCCCAGACUCCUACGGGAGGCAGCAGUGGGGAAUAUUGCACAAUGGGCGAAAGCCUGAUGCAGCGACGCCGCGUGAGGGAUGACGGCCUUCGGGUUGUAAACCUCUUUCAGCAGGGAAGAAGCGAAAGUGAC
This 441-nucleotide ribosomal RNA is filed under the name Janibacter sp. R-39538. RNAcentral's name for it is "bacterial SSU rRNA". It matches the Rfam family "Bacterial small subunit ribosomal RNA", at positions 21 to 473 of the family's 1533-position model. The record is from RNAcentral. Lineage: Bacteria; Bacillati; Actinomycetota; Actinomycetes; Micrococcales; Intrasporangiaceae.